RNAcentral lists this long non-coding RNA (3293 nucleotides) under Sus scrofa (pig). RNAcentral describes it as "lncRNA (ENSSSCG00060008371.1)". Lineage: Eukaryota; Metazoa; Chordata; Mammalia; Artiodactyla; Suidae. The record is from RNAcentral.
AUGAAGGAGUACCAAAGAGUUACUUCCCAGUUUCCAGCUGAAUUAUCUUUUUUAUUAAAAGUGGUGUUUCUUUAUUUUUUCCUCUUAGGAGAUGACUUCUUGGGAACCCUUUUGAGAAUGAAUGACAUCAGCAAAUCCCUAAACAAGACUCUUCAUACAGAGCAUUUCAUCUACCUAUUGUCCAAGGGCUGCCCUCUGAAGGUGAUGGCCACAAAGAUGAGGUGGAUUUGUUACUCUGGAUACCAUUGCUUCUACCACCAGCUUCUCCAAAUCUACGACAGUCUUCCUCAGGCAUGGAAACUCUUCUCUUUCCUGUGUUGCAGUGGAUACCUCCUGCAGAUAAGAAAUGCUUAACUGAGAAAUGCUCAUGUUGGGAUAUCAUCGAUGAGACUUUAAUUUGGGCAUGGUGACUGUUUCCCUUGCUUCCACUUGACUCAAUCCCAGGAGCCUCAGUAGAGGAAAUAUUAUUGCACAAGAAACUCAAAAUGGUGGAAUUGCUCAGUGCUCCCAUAAAAAUACAUUUAUAAAUUUCAUUUGCCAUGUGGUAAAUUUAAAGAAUAAGAUCUAUUUUUUUUCAAAAAUCAAAGCAUAUCUAAAAUAUCUAACAUAUAAAUUAAGCACCCUCCUUUCUCCUAAUACUAUCUCCCAAAGUUUUUCUCUACUAAGGGAGUUGUGUGCAUUCUUUAAGUGGAUAGAUGCGCACACACACACGUUAUUUUUAGGGGGUUCUGGAAUUGGAGCUAUAUUGUACACAUUAUUCUGCAAAUUGCCUCAUUUAACAAUUUUUUCAAUGCCCUUUUUCUGUUUCACUACUACAUAUCUGUGUCAUUUGUUGAAUGACUGCAUGACUGUUUUGUACAUGAAAUAUAAUUAAACGUUUUAAGCACUUAUUCAUAGAUAUUUAUGUUAGCACCAAAUUUCUGUGCAAUGAACCUCCCUAUAUAUCAAUAAUUUAUAUUUGUCUACUAUAUCAUAAUAAAUUACAGUCGAAAUACUGGGAUUAAGUAUAUGCACAUUUCAAAUUUUGAAAAUAAUCACAAGAUUUCCUUAGAAAUAUGGUAACAUCUUUAUCCUUAAAUGGCAAUGAAUGAAUUUGCCAGCUUUCCCACAACCUCACAGAUAAUGAAUUUUAUGAGUAUUUAAAAUCUUUGCCAGUGUGAUAGCCCAAACUAUUGUCUUAAAUUGUAUUUCUUUUGUUUUUGAUCAUUUUUCAUGUGUUUAUUAGCCAUCUAUAUUUAAAAUUUUUCUCUUUAUGUCCAAUUUUGGGGCUGGGGGAGGUUUUAGUCUCUUGCUGAUUUCAGAGAGCUCAUUUAUUAUUGAGGGAGUAAGCUUUUGGAUUGUCAAGCAUUACAGAUAUUUUUAACACCUUUAAACUUCAUUUUUGUUAUAAGAAUGUAUGAUUGUUAUAUGUCCAAGUAUAACCAUGUUUGCUUCUAUGGCUUCUGAGUUUCAUGUCAUUUUGGAAAAAUAUUUAUACUGAUCCCAUAAAACUCUUCACCUAUGUUAACUUCAAAUUCUUUUGUGUUUUUUUUAAUUCAAAUUCUUAAAUCAUGAGAAUUUUUUUGAUUUGAAAUUUAAAGUUGCCAAGUUAUUUGCCAUUAUUUGCGAUUAUUGGCCAAUAAUUGCCCAUUUAUCUGUAAUGCCAUCUUGCACAUAUACUGUAUUCUCAUCUGUGACUGGCUCCAUUUUUGUUCUGUGGGUCUGUGUGUCUCUUCUUCUGCCUCCUGUCUCAUGUGUCUUCUCGUUGGAAGAAAUUACAGUUUAGACUGCAAUUUCAUCAACUUUAAUAAAUUAAUUUAGGGGAGAAUUGGUUUUUAAUCAUAUGUCUUCCUAUCCAAGGACAAGGUAUGUCUUUCCUUUUAUUCAAUAAUUUUAAUUACUUUUAAUAUUUUCACUUUGUGAUAUGGAUAUUUUCCUUCAGUUCAUUUUCUUACUUAAUAAUUUUUCUUUAUCUAAAAGUCGUGUUUUGUUUUGGGAGUAAAUGGUCUCCUUACCCUUUCUUAGGGUUUUUCAGAUUUUUUCAAAUUAUAUCCUAAAUCUCUUACAAAUACUAACAGAUGUGAUUCUCCCCUUCCAAAUUAUGUGAAUUUUAGUUAUGUUAAUAAAAUUCACUGACUGGUACUUUCAGAGCACUUAAACAAUUGUGGAAAUAUUACCCACCCUUUAUUUAAUUAGGUUUUAAUGGAUAGUUCUCGGGUUUGACCAGCACGUUGUUGCUGGUCUAUUACCAAAAAAGACUCUCAUAAACAAUGAUGAUCAAGCAAAGCUGAGUUUAUUAGACCUACUCCAGCAAGGGAAAACACCACUUUGACAAGGUUUAGUAGUAUUUCAAAAACAAGAAAUGAUGGGUUUGGGGGAUGCGCUAAUGUGGUUUAAGGCAGGAUUUUCAAGGCAAUAAACUGGUUAGGAGUGGGAAAAAUUUGUGAUACAAUAGUUUAAAGUUAAUGAAAGAGUAAAAUGAGGACCUUGAUGUGAGUGUAGAUCAUCAAAUUUUUGUCUAAUGAAUGAGCAAUUUCCCUAUGAGUAAUGAUGGAAGAACUAUUUAUUUAGAUGAAUUAACUGAAUUUAUUUAUUGGUUUAUGGUUUUAUCUUGUUUAUAGGACUCUGCUGGGGGUGGUAUCAGGUCUUAUUUCCAAUAGGUAAGUUAUUUUGAUGUAAGUGGUCUCAGUCAUCAGAGUAAUAUGCUAAUUCUAAAUUUGAGAUUUUUGUGUGUGUCAUGUUAGGAAAAGUCUCUUACAUUUUAUAUAUUUCUAAGAAAUUUAAAUCAAAACCAAGUGGUGAAUGUAACCAAAUGCUUCAUAAAAAUUAUAUUAUUCCUUAAACUUCAUCUGUGAAAAUAAUUCAUUUUUAGUAUUGAAAUUCCCUUAUGUUGUUCAUUCAACAGACUUUUAAAGUUUUACUUUUUAAAUUCACUACUGAAUUAUGAGUAUCUUCAUUUGAUUUUGGUUUUUUACAACUGUACUACUAAAAGAAAUUGAUCUGUAAUUUUACAUUUUGCUCUGUUUUUGUCAUGUUUGCAUGUUAGAUUUCCUGGUUGAGUUAAAAUAACUUUAACAAUUUUCUUUUGGAGUUCCCGUUGUGGCGCAGUGGUUAACAAAUCAGACUAGGAACCAUGAGGUUGCGGGUUCGAUCCCUGGCUUUGCUCAGUGGGUUGGAUCCCACGUUGCUGCGGCUCUGGCAUAGGCCAACAGCUAUAGCUCCAGUUAGACUCCUAGCCUGGGAACCUCCACAUGCCGCAGGAGCGGCCCUAGAAAAAGGCAAAAAGACAANAAAAAAAAAAAAAAAAAAAAAAA